GAUGAACGCUGGCGGCGUGCCUAAUACAUGCAAGUCGAGCGAACAGACCUCUUUCUUGCUCCUCUCACGUUAGCGGCGGACGUGUGACUAACACGUGUCUAACCUUCCUAUUUUUCUUGUAUAACUUCGGGUAACCCUAGCUCAUACCGGCUAAUCUAUUGACCCGCUUGGUUCUUUAGUGUUUUACGGUUUUGCUGUCACUUAUAGAUUUAUCCGCGCGGCAUUAGCUUGUUGGUAAGUUAACGGCUUACCAAGGCUACGAUGCGUAGCCGACGUGAGAGGGUGAGCGGCGACAGUGGAAGUGAGAGACGGAAAAGAGGACUACGGGAGGCAGCAGUAGGGAAUGGAGCGCAAUGGGGGAAAGCCUGACGGAGCAAAGGCGGGUGAGUGAAGAAGGUCUGCGGAUCGUAAAACUGUGUUAGUAGGGAAGAACAAAUGUGUAAGUAAAUAAGCACGGAGUGACGGUAACGAAUAAGAAAGCAACGGCUAACUACGUG
Molecule: ribosomal RNA, 497 nt
Filed under: uncultured bacterium
Lineage: Bacteria
Description: partial 16S ribosomal RNA
Rfam family: Bacterial small subunit ribosomal RNA
Source: RNAcentral